RNAcentral lists this ribosomal RNA (292 nucleotides) under uncultured bacterium. RNAcentral describes it as "partial 16S ribosomal RNA". It matches the Rfam family "Bacterial small subunit ribosomal RNA", at positions 505 to 796 of the family's 1533-position model. The record is from RNAcentral.
GUGUCAGCAGCCGCGGUAAGACGUAGGGGGCCAGCGUUGCUCGGAAUUACUGGGCGUAAAGGGUUCGUAGGCGGUGUGGCAAGUCGGAAGUGAAAUCUCUAGGCUCAACCUAGAGGCUGCUCCCGAAACUGCCAUGCUAGAGUGCGGGAGAGGCGAGUGGAAUUACAGGUGUAGCGGUGAAAUGCGUAGAUAUCUGUAGGAACACCCGUGGCGAAGGCGGCUCGCUGGACCGCAACUGACGCUGAGGAACGAAAGCUAGGGGAGCAAACAGGAUUAGAAACCCCCGUAGUCC